UCCCUGGUGGUCCAGUGGUUAGGACUCUGCCCUCUCACUGCCAAGGGCUCAGGUUCAAUCCCUGGCUGGGGAG
This 73-nucleotide transfer RNA is filed under the name Ovis aries (sheep). It matches the Rfam family "tRNA". From Rfam's summary of the family: Transfer RNA (tRNA) molecules are approximately 80 nucleotides in length. Lineage: Eukaryota; Metazoa; Chordata; Mammalia; Artiodactyla; Bovidae. The record is from Rfam by way of RNAcentral.